RNAcentral lists this ribosomal RNA (1171 nucleotides) under uncultured Bacteroides sp. RNAcentral describes it as "bacterial SSU rRNA". It matches the Rfam family "Bacterial small subunit ribosomal RNA", at positions 10 to 1177 of the family's 1533-position model. Lineage: Bacteria; Pseudomonadati; Bacteroidota; Bacteroidia; Bacteroidales; Bacteroidaceae. The record is from RNAcentral.
AGUUUGAUCCUGGCUCAGGAUGAACGCUAGCUACAGGCUUAACACAUGCAAGUCGAGGGGCAGCAUGGUCUUAGCUUGCUAAGGCCGAUGGCGACCGGCGCACGGGUGAGUAACACGUAUCCAACCUGCCGUCUACUCUUGGACAGCCUUCUGAAAGGAAGAUUAAUACAAGAUGGCAUCAUGAGUUCACAUGUUCACAUGAUUAAAGGUAUUCCGGUAGACGAUGGGGAUGCGUUCCAUUAGAUAGUAGGCGGGGUAACGGCCCACCUAGUCUUCGAUGGAUAGGGGUUCUGAGAGGAAGGUCCCCCACAUUGGAACUGAGACACGGUCCAAAUCCUACGGGAGGCAGCAGUGAGGAAUAUUGGUCAAUGGGCGCAGGCCUGAACCAGCCAAGUAGCGUGAAGGAUGACUGCCCUAUGGGUUGUAAACUUCUUUUAUAAAGGAAUAAAGUCGGGUAUGUAUACCCGUUUGCAUGUACUUUAUGAAUAAGGAUCGGCUAACUCCGUGCCAGCAGCCGCGGUAAUACGGAGGAUCCGAGCGUUAUCCGGAUUUAUUGGGUUUAAAGGGAGCGUAGAUGGAUGUUUAAGUCAGUUGUGAAAGUUUGCGGCUCAACCGUAAAAUUGCAGUUGAUACUGGAUAUCUUGAGUGCAGUUGAGGCAGGCGGAAUUCGUGGUGUAGCGGUGAAAUGCUUAGAUAUCACGAAGAACUCCGAUUGCGAAGGCAGCCUGCUAAGCUGCAACUGACAUUGAGGCUCGAAAGUGUGGGUAUCAAACAGGAUUAGAUACCCUGGUAGUCCACACGGUAAACGAUGAAUACUCGCUGUUUGCGAUAUACGGCAAGCGGCCAAGCGAAAGCGUUAAGUAUUCCACCUGGGGAGUACGCCGGCAACGGUGAAACUCAAAGGAAUUGACGGGGGCCCGCACAAGCGGAGGAACAUGUGGUUUAAUUCGAUGAUACGCGAGGAACCUUACCCGGGCUUAAAUUGCAGAUGAAUUACGGUGAAAGCCGUAAGCCGCAAGGCAUCUGUGAAGGUGCUGCAUGGUUGUCGUCAGCUCGUGCCGUGAGGUGUCGGCUUAAGUGCCAUAACGAGCGCAACCCUUGUUGUCAGCUACUAACAGGUUCCGCUGANGACUCUGACAAGACUGCCAUCGUAAGAUGUGAGGAANGUGGA